GACGAACGCUGGCGGCGUGCCUAAUACAUGCAAGUCGAACGCUUUUUCUUUCACCGGAGCUUGCUCCACCGAAAGAAAAGGAGUGGCGAACGGGUGAGUAACACGUGGGUAACCUGCCCAUCAGAAGGGGAUAACACUUGGAAACAGGUGCUAAUACCGUAUAACAAUAGAAACCGCAUGGUUUCUAUUUGAAAGGCGCUUUUGCGUCACUGAUGGAUGGACCCGCGGUGCAUUAGCUAGUUGGUGAGGUAACGGCUCACCAAGGCAACGAUGCAUAGCCGACCUGAGAGGGUGAUCGGCCACAUUGGGACUGAGACACGGCCCAAACUCCUACGGGAGGCAGCAGUAGGGAAUCUUCGGCAAUGGACGAAAGUCUGACCGAGCAACGCCGCGUGAGUGAAGAAGGUUUUCGGAUCGUAAAACUCUGUUGUUAGAGAAGAACAAGGAUGAGAGUAAAAUGUUCAUCCCUUGACGGUAUCUAACCAGAAAGCCACGGCUAACUACGUGCCAGCAGCCGCGGUAAUACGUAGGUGGCAAGCGUUGUCCGGAUUUAUUGGGCGUAAAGCGAGCGCAGGCGGUUUCUUAAGUCUGAUGUGAAAGCCCCCGGCUCACCCGGGGAGGGUCAUUGGAAACUGGAGAACUUGAGUGCACAAGAGGAGAGUGGAAUUCCACGUGUAGCGGUGAAAUGCGUAGAUAUAUGGAGGAACACCAGUGGCGAAGGCGGCUCUCUGGUCUGUAACUGACGCUGAGGCUCGAAAGCGUGGGGAGCAAACAGGAU
This 778-nucleotide ribosomal RNA is filed under the name Enterococcus gilvus. Its description in RNAcentral is "bacterial SSU rRNA". It matches the Rfam family "Bacterial small subunit ribosomal RNA", at positions 28 to 778 of the family's 1533-position model. The record is from RNAcentral. Lineage: Bacteria; Bacillati; Bacillota; Bacilli; Lactobacillales; Enterococcaceae.